UGCAGGCAUGUGGUUUUAUGGCACACAGAUACACAGAGUUUCCACUGACGGAGGUGGAGAUACUCCCGAUUCAUACUGGCGUGACUCGUGAGAUCAGAAUCAAGUGGGGAAACAGGCAAAGAGAAGUGGAGUGACUUCCCCAAGUUCAUAUGGCAGCUAAUGUCUGCCUCCAAACUUCCACAGCAACAAGGAU
Molecule: long non-coding RNA, 193 nt
Organism: Chrysemys picta bellii (western painted turtle)
Lineage: Eukaryota; Metazoa; Chordata; Testudines; Emydidae
Source: RefSeq, a predicted model, not a curated record